Molecule: long non-coding RNA, 463 nt
Organism: Mastomys coucha (southern multimammate mouse)
Lineage: Eukaryota; Metazoa; Chordata; Mammalia; Rodentia; Muridae
Exons: 2
Source: RefSeq, a predicted model, not a curated record
AGCAUAUCUAAAUUGGCUACAGCGUUGCGGUCAGGACAGAGCAAAAAAAACAAGACAUCAGUAUUGCCGAGUAUUUGCUAGUACCUGGUUCCCAAGCUAAGAGUGUUGGGAAUAAAGCUCAGAUGCUCAUGCCCAUACAUCAAGCACGUUCCUAACUAAGCUGUCUCCUAGCUCUUGGAGUUUCUGGGUCUGUUCAGGAGCCGCCUUCUUUCUUCAGAAUGACAAGUGGAACGGACACGGGUGGAUUCACUCUGUUGAGCCUGGAAGAGAUGAAAGAGAAGAAAGGCCGUCCAUUUUCUGAAGUGUUCCUCGUGGGCCAUGUGCAUGUGCCAUUAAGGCCUGCUGGGACCCGGAGCCAGGGCUGGUCUCCCUGAGAUGCUACAGGGGUUUCCUCUGGCUCGCCGUGGCCACUGUUGCUCGGCACAGUACCCACUUAUAACAAAAUAAAAACAUUCUUCAAGGA